CGCCACUGCACUCCAGCCUGGGCGACAGAGUGAGACUCCAUAUCAACAAAACAAAACAAAACAAAAUUUACCUUUGAAUCCGUCUCAAAAGUGAAGGUCCAGCCUAGCAGAGUGCCAGACAUCAUGAGUCUUUAGAAUUCUAAGGAGCAGCAUGAGAAUUCUCAGGCCAAAGAAGAAUUUCGUCUCUGGGAAGUCCUGACUCUGCAUUAAUGAUGGACAUCAAUGUUUUCAGCUGCCAGACAGGUCCAUCUUCUCAAUUCCUGAGAUCCUAACUGUGACCCUGUCCAUCAGCCAGGUGAGCAAGCCUGGGCUAGUUAGCUGAAGGAUAAGAGACCAUGUGGAGGAAGCCAGAGGAGCCAUCCAUCUGGGGCCACCCAAGGUCAGCCAGCACCUCUAAUCACAGAGCCACGAGGGAGUUAGCCCAGAUUUAGAAGCAGAUACUGGUUGCAUUUUGCCUCUGCCCUAGAGAUUUGUGGAACUUCGAACUUGAGAGAGAUGAUUUACAGUACCUGGUGGAAGAAAUUUCAAAGCAGCAAAGCUUUCAAGAGGUGACUUGGGUGCUGUUAAAGUCAUUCAGUUUUAAAGGAAAACAGAGCAUAAAAGUUUGGAAAAUUUGCAGCCUGACAAUGAGAUAGAAGAGAAAAUUCCAUUUUCUGAGGAGAAAUUCAAGCCAGCUGCAGAAAUUUGCAAAAGUAAUGAGGAGCUGAAUGUUAAUCACCAAGACAAUAGGGAAAAUGUCUCCAGCGUGUGUCAGAGACCUUUGUGACAACCCCUCCCUUCACAGGCCAGGAGGUUUAGGAGGAAUAAACGUCUUAAAUAUUGGGUCAGGCCCAUGGUCCCUCCACUGUGUGCAGACUAGAGACUUGGUGCCCUGAAUCCUAGCCACUCUAGUCAUGAAUAAAAGGGGCCAAAGUACAGCUUGGGCUAUUGCUUCAGAGGGUGCAAGCCCCAAGUCUUGGUAGGUUCCACAUGGUGUUGAGCCUUCGGGUGCACAAAAGUCAAGAACUGAGGUUUGGUUACCUCUGCCUAGAUUUUGGAUGAUGCAUGGAAACGCCUGGAUGCCCAGGCAGAAGUUUGCUGCAGGGGCAGAGCCCUCAUGGGGAACUUCUGGUAAGGCAAUGAGGAAGGGAAAUGUGGGAUCAGAGCCACCACACAGAGUCCCUAAUGGGCACCACCUAGUGGAGCUGUGAGAAGAGGGCUACCGUCCUCCAAACCCAGACCCCAGAAUGGUAGAUCCAUCGGCAGCUUGCACCGUGCACCUGGAACAGCCAUCAACACUCAAUGCCAGCCUGUGAAAGCAGCUGGGAGGGAGGCUGUACCCUGCAAUGCCACAGGGGCAGAACUGCACAAGACCAUGGGAACCCAUCUCUUGCAUUAGCGUGACCUAGAUGUGAGACAUGGAAUCAAAGGAGAUCAUUUGGAGCUCCAAGAUUUGACUGCUGGAUUUUGGACUUGCAUGGGGCCUGUGGCCCUCUGUUUUGGCCAAUUUCUCCCAUUUGGAAUGGCUGUAUUUACCCAAUGCCUGUACCCCCAUUGUAUCUAGGAAGUAACUAACUUGCUUUCGAUUUUACAGGCUCAUAGGUGGAAGGGAAUUACCUUAUCUCAGAUGAGACUUUGGACUGUGGACUUUUGAGUUAAUGCUGUAAUGAGUUAAGACUUUGGGGGACUAUUGGGAAAGCAUGAUUGGUUUUGAAAUGUGAAAACAUGAGAUUUGGGAGGAGCCAGAGGCAGAAUGAUAUGACUUGGCUCUGUGUCCCCACCCAAAUCUCAUCUUGUAGCUCCCCUGCUUCCCAUGUGUUGUGGGAGGGACCCAGUGGGAGAUGAUUGAAUCAUUGGGGCUGGUCUUUUUCUGUGCUGUUCUUGUGGUGGUGAAUGCAUCUCAUGAGAUUUGAUGGUUUUGAAAAUGGGAGUUCUCUUCACAAGCUCUUUUUUUGCCUGCUGCCAUCCAUGUAAGACGUGACUUGUUCCUCCUUGCCUUCCACCGUGAUUGUGAGACCUCCCCAGCCACGUGGAACUGUGAGUCCAAUUAAACCUUUUUACUUUGUAAAUUGUCCAGUCUCGAGUAUGUCUUUAUCAGCAGUGUGAAAAUGAACUACCAUAAUAUGCAAACACACAAUUCAUGUUAUGCUCAGAUUCUUCCAUAGUCUAUCAAUAUCACUGACACAAAUUUAUGUUUCCAAAACAAGACUUAGAGCAGGACUGGCUGUGUAUCUAUUAGUGGCUAUUCAUGGGCAGGGCAAGUCAUGAACCACUGUACUUGUUCCAAGUCACCUAGCUGGUCAUUGGCAAAGCCAGGGCUGCAACCUAGCUCUCUAGAUGAAGAGCUGAACUAUCUUACCAGGCCACUAUGCUAUCAUAUCUGUUUGUGAAUACAAGGGAUAAAGUGCAGAACAUGGAAGUGCUUUGAAAGGUAUAAAGUGAUCAAUGUUAUAUGCAACUAGAAAGGCUAUGAGUCUUUUAUUUUGUUCUCUAUGACAAGAGAACAAUAUUUCCACUCUGUUUCUUGUUAUAAAUAACUUUGCCUAAUCCUCUAGAAAAGCAAGUAAGCAGAAACAAGUUAACUAAACCUUAGGUCAAGAGGGAAAUGGGAAGAACUAGCAAAAGGAGAUAAUAACUCUCAGGGAUGGAAGCACCUAGCCAAUUGGAAGGGUGUGAAAAAGCGUGGAAAUAGAAAAUGGGACUGACAAAAUGUACCUUUUCUCUUACAAAUUAACUUGUGUCUUUGUGACGACAGCAUGUUUGGGUCAAGAGUUCUUGACUUUUGAAAUAUAUCAAAAUUCUUAAGGAGAAAGUUUUAUAAAAAUAGAGGUGUUUUUUUUGUGUGUGUGUAUAUGUGUGUGUGUAUAUAUGUGUGUGUGUGUAUACAUAUAUAUAUAUAUAUAUUUUUUUUUUUUUUUUUUUGAGACAGAGUUUUGCUCUUGUUGCCCAGGCUGGAGUGCAAUGGCGCGAUCUUGGCUCAUUGCAAUCUCCACCUCCCGGGUUCAAGCAAUUCUCCUGCCUCAGCCCCCCAAAUAGCUGGGAUUACAGGCAUAAGCCACCAGUCCUGGCUAAUUUUGUAUUUUUAGUAGAGAUGGGGUUUCUCCAUGUUGGUCAAGCUGGUCUCUAAAUCCCGACCUCAGGUGAUCCGCCCACCUCGGCCUCCUGAAUUGCUGGUGUUAAAGGUGUCAGCCACUGAGCCCAGCACAUAAAUACAUAUAUUUAUUAAGAGAAGGUGGUUCAUGUGAUUAUGGAGGCUGAGAAGUCUCACAAUUUGUUGUCUGUAAGUUAGAAACCCAGGAAAUCUGGUGAUGAAUACAGAUUGGAUCAGAGAACCGGGGAGCAGAUGGUGUGAAUCCCACCUGGAAAGCCAGAGAAGAUGAGAUGAAAUGAGACAUCACAGCUCAGCAGUGAGGAAAGACAAACUGGGUGAAUUCCUCCUUUCUCCACCUUUGGUUGGUUUCAGGCCCUCAAAAGACUGGAUGAUUCCCAAACACACUGGAGAGGACAAUCCACUUUACUGAGUCCGCUGCUUCAAAUGCUAAUCUCGUCUAGAAAUACCCUCACAGACACACUUAGAAAUAAUGUUUCAUCCAGACACCCCUUGGCCAGUCAAGUUGCCACAUAGAAUUAACCAUCAUACUCAGUACUACUCAUUUAGAAUUUCUGAUAAUAGGGCACAAGUAUGUGUAUUUGUUAGGGCCAAGUGGCUUUGUUGAGCCUUUUGAGAAAAUAACUAUGAGAAGGGGAGAUUUUGUAACCUGAAGACCAUCACUUAGCCCUAAGGAAGACUACCUCAUUUAUUGGCCUAAAAUCAGAAUUGAUGAAUGGUCUGUUGAUCAUGAUUGCAAAUAUGUCUCUAGUGGUCAGAGUAUAUACCAAUGACUUUUUUUAAAAAUGCAGUUCCUUGUUAAAUGUUAAAUGCAGCUCCUUCCAUAACUCCCUUCCUAUCCAUGGAAAAGGAAGCUAUGGCAGGAACUGCAUUUAACAUUUAACAAGAAUAUAUUUCUGUAUAUAUCCAGAAGUAUAUCCAUAUACUACACUACAGAUAUGUUUCUCUUUUCCCCACAGUCAACCAUUUUAGUAGGCUCAGUUGGGGUACUUUUAUUUGAAUGUGUUACUGAGUUUGUACAUUUUAAAUUUUUAUAGAUGAUAUUGUUAUACUGCUUAUUCUUCUUCCAGUGUUUUCCACUAGGUCCUGUAUUAUUAAAAUCCAGUCAGAUUGCUUUAUAGUCAGUUAAUCCAUUGCUUCUACUAAUGAUUUCAAUGGUGUGUCUAUAUGGUAAAUUUCAGUAGUUGAUCCAGAUCUGUAUCUCUUCCUGUAUUUAUGCCCUUUGCUAAGUAAAUUUUCAGGUCCCUCCCACGUGGACAGAGUGACCUGCCCCAUCCCUUGAAACUGGUCUUGGCCAUGUGAUUUGCUUUGUGAUAAAUGCUGACUUGAUAUAAGCAGAAGCUUAAAAAAGCAUUUGUGUGUUUCCACUAGUUCUUGUACCUCUGUCAUUGUAAUGAAAAGACAUACUCAGCUUAACCUACUGGUCCCAGGAAGAGGAUGAGCAAUAACGUGGAACAGAGCCAACCUAGACGUGUAUAAGUAAGCCAGCUGAACUGUGAAUGUAUGAGCAAGUCAGGCCCAGAUCAAUGGAAUCCCACAGAUGCAUGAGAAAUAAAUGCAUGCUAUUGAGAUUUUGUGGUUGUAUGCAACAUUAUUGUGGCAAUAACUAACCAAUAGACUGUACUAUGAGAAUUUGUAUUCUCUUGCUGAUUUUGAAUUCAGGAUGUCAAUUAUGGGAAGGCUAAUCAUUUGACUCAAGAAUAAAACAACUU
Molecule: long non-coding RNA, 4800 nt
Filed under: Homo sapiens (human)
Lineage: Eukaryota; Metazoa; Chordata; Mammalia; Primates; Hominidae
Description: HSALNT0264445
Source: RNAcentral